UACGUAGGGUGCGAGCGUUGUCCGGGAUUAUUGGGCGUAAAGGGCUCGUAGGCGGUUUGUCGCGUCGGGAGUGAAAACCCAGGGCUUAACCCUGGGCUGGCUUCCGAUACGGGCAGACUAGAGGUAUGCAGGGGAGAACGGAAUUCCUGGUGUAGCGGUGAAAUGCGCAGAUAUCAGGAGGAACACCGGUGGCGAAGGCGGUUCUCUGGGCAUGACCUGACGCUGAGGAGCGAAAGUGUGGGGAGCGAACAGG
RNAcentral lists this ribosomal RNA (253 nucleotides) under uncultured bacterium. RNAcentral's name for it is "partial 16S ribosomal RNA". It matches the Rfam family "Bacterial small subunit ribosomal RNA", at positions 524 to 776 of the family's 1533-position model. The record is from RNAcentral.